UGAUAAUCGAGUGGAUCAGGUACCCUGAAUGAGUCGGGGUUCAAUAGGGAAGACGGUGUGAUUCCGUCGCGGUCCCGCCGCUGUGAACGGGGACGAAAGCCAUCUCAGCCACUGUCGCGCCGAGCGCGUGAUGGGAAGGUUUGGCGAGUAGAGUGAUCCGUGAGCCAGAAGACCUGCCUGAGACCGAAUCACGGU
RNAcentral lists this non-coding RNA (195 nucleotides) under Syntrophobacteraceae bacterium. Lineage: Bacteria; Pseudomonadati; Thermodesulfobacteriota; Syntrophobacteria; Syntrophobacterales; Syntrophobacteraceae. The record is from RNAcentral.